RNAcentral lists this ribosomal RNA (253 nucleotides) under uncultured bacterium. Its description in RNAcentral is "partial 16S ribosomal RNA". It matches the Rfam family "Bacterial small subunit ribosomal RNA", at positions 524 to 776 of the family's 1533-position model. The record is from RNAcentral.
UACGUAGGGUGCGAGCGUUGUCCGGAAUUAUUGGGCGUAAAGAGCUCGUAGGCGGCUUGUCGCGUCGGAUGUGAAAGCCCGGGGCUUAACCCCGGGUCUGCAUUCGAUACGGGCAGGCUAGAGUGUGGUAGGGGAGAUCGGAAUUCCUGGUGUAGCGGUGAAAUGCGCAGAUAUCAGGAGGAACACCGGUGGCGAAGGCGGGUCUCUGGGCCGAUACUGACGCUGAGGAGCGAAAGCGUGGGGAGCGAACAGG